Oryctolagus cuniculus (rabbit) is the source of this 997-nucleotide non-coding RNA. Lineage: Eukaryota; Metazoa; Chordata; Mammalia; Lagomorpha; Leporidae. The record is from RefSeq and is a predicted model, not a curated record.
CAGAACCCCAAACUCUGAAUCUACUUACCCAACGUGCAUUGAGUCAUUACUGGGCAUCUGGGUUGGGGAUUGGGAGGAAGUAGCUUUCUAUUUUUGCAAAGCACAGAGAAAGGAGUAUGGGCAGUUGUUGCUUAAUUCCCAAACUGCACGAGGGAUUAAAGAUAAGGAAUCUUCCAGCUGAAGUUUCAGUUAAGAGAGGAUGAACACGUCAUAGAGAAUCAAAAAGAGGAUGGGAAUAAAUCACAAUAAAGAAACCCAGAUGAUUAAGUGCCAGGCAUUUAAUGAAUUUCCCAUUUUUCCAUGGGGAGAAAGAAGCCAGGGGACUACAAAGGAGUGGAGAUUUCAACACAGGCAUCUUCCAGAAUUGUUCCAAGAGUGGGAGGGGAGAAAUGAGGAUUAUCUUUGAUCAGAAACAGCAUGACUGGAAUCUCCCCGGAACUGGAGCAAGCAAUUUCCUGGACUGUGACACCAGGAACAGAAUGCCAACUGUGACUCUGCAGUAUUAUCCUACUCUCGAAUGCCCUCCGGUGACUUUUGUUUUCAUCCCUGGCCUCCUCCCAGAGUGCUCACAUCCAAAUGAUUGGCUCAGGAAGAAAGGGAGAAGGAGAGACAGAAAGAGGGUGCGGGGCACUGAAGUAACUGGAACAAGCGUCAUGGAGGAAGUGUGGUAGAGUUAGAACGACUUGAAGGGAGAUCAGGAUCCAGACAAGUGAAGGAAGAACAUUGCAAGUCAAAAGGUUGACAUCGGGGCUGGCACUGUGGUGAACCGGGUUAAAGCCCUGGCCUGAAGCGCCGGCAUCCCAUAUGGGUGCCAGUUCUAGUCCUGGCUGCUCCUUUUCCGAUCCAGCUCUCUGCUGUGGCCUGGGAAAGCAGAAAAGAUGGCUCAAGUUCUUGGGCCCCUGCACCCACGUGGGAGACCCAGAAGAAGCUCCUGACUCCUGGCUUCGGAUCAGUGCAGCUCCAGCUGUUGCGGCCAUCUGGGGAGUGAACCAGUGGA